RNAcentral lists this ribosomal RNA (460 nucleotides) under uncultured bacterium. RNAcentral's name for it is "partial 16S ribosomal RNA". It matches the Rfam family "Bacterial small subunit ribosomal RNA", at positions 338 to 795 of the family's 1533-position model. The record is from RNAcentral.
CCUACGGGUGGCUGCAGUGAGGAAUAUUGGUCAAUGGACGAGAGUCUGAACCAGCCAUGUAGCGUGAAGGAUGACUGCCCUAUGGGUUGUAAACUUCUUUUAUAUGGGAAUAAAAUGUUCUACGUGUGUGAUUUUGUAUGUAUCAUAUGAAUAAGGAUCGGCUAACUCCGUGCCAGCAGCCGCGGUAAUACGGAGGAUCCGAGCGUUAUCCGGAUUUAUUGGGUUUAAAGGGGGCGUAGGUGGAUUGUUAAGUCAGUUGUGAAAGUUUGCGGCUCAACCGUAAAAUUGCAUUUGAAACUGGCAGGCUAGAGUGCAGUAGCGGUAGGCGGAAUUCGUGGUGUAGCGGUGAAAUGCUUAGAGAUCACGCAGAACACCGAUUGCGAAGGCAGUUCACUGGACUGCAACUGACACUGAGGCUCGAAAGUGUGGGUAUCAAACAGGAUUAGAGACCCGAGUAGUC